Molecule: ribosomal RNA, 490 nt
Filed under: uncultured bacterium
Lineage: Bacteria
Description: partial 16S ribosomal RNA
Rfam family: Bacterial small subunit ribosomal RNA
Source: RNAcentral
GAUGAACGCUAGCUACAGGCUUAACACAUGCAAGUCGCGGGGCAGCAUGGGGGUUGCUUGCAAUCCCCGAUGGCGACCGGCGCACGGGUGAGUUACGCGUAUCCAACCUGCCCUUCACCACGGGAUAACCCGGCGAAAGUCGGACUAAUACCGUAUGUUGUCCAUUGACGGCAUCCGAUUUGGACGAAAGGUUUGGCGGUGAAGGAUGGGGAUGCGUCCGAUUAGCUGGACGGCGGGGUGACGGCCCACCGUGGCGACGCGCGGUAGGGGAUCUGAGAGGAAGGUCCCCCACACUGGAGCUGCGACACAGACCAGACUGGUACGGGGGGGAGGAGUGUGGAAUAUUAGUCAAUGGGCGUAAGCCGAACCCAGCCACGUAGCGGACGAAGUGCCGGCCAUAUGAGUUGUAAACUGCUUUUAUGCGGGGAUAAAGUAGGCCACGUGUGAGUUUUUGCAGGUACCGCAUGAGUAAGGACCGGCUAAUUCCGUG